CAAUGGUGUCAGUGACAGUGAUGGUGAUGGUCUUGCUCGCGCUAUUGCCGCUUUUGUCAGUGGCCGUGCAGGUGGCUACGGUGGUGCCGACGGGGUAGACGCCAGAGGUGGAGGGGGCCGCGGGGGAGUAGGUGGUGACAACGUUGAGGUUCGUGUCCACGUUGUCAGUGGCGGUGCAUGUGAAGGAGAUGCCGUCGGCGCCGCCAAGCGUGUUGCCCUCCUUGGUGAUGGCGUUGGUGCUGGAACUGACCGUUGGGGCUGUGUUAUCUGUGGGACAUGCAGGGUGGGGGGGAUUACACGAAUGCGUUUGCAUGUGCGUAAUUGGUGAUUACUAUGUAGCAGAAGCAAGCAAGUGUUCUUCCAAGGUCGGAGCCGCAACAUGCGAAGCCAGUAGGAUCCAUGCCCCGCCGUGCCCCGCCCUGCCUCACUCCGUUCCCCGCGCCCCGCCCCACUGCCACCCAACCCGACCCGACCCGAUCCAACCCAACCCAAGCAACCCGCCAAGACCCGACCCGACCUACAGCAACCCUUGCCCACCCUACCCUCCCCUCCCCGACCCACGUCUCACCGAGAACGACCACAGCGAAUGUCGCGGUGCCGGUAUUGGUUCCGUCAGACGCGGUGCAGGUGACAGUGGUGCUGCCAAAUGGGAAAGAGUCACCAGAGGCAUAGUCACACGAGGGCGUCACGGCACCAACCACGAUGUCAGUGGCGGUGACGGCCGACCAGGUGACAGCAGCAGUGCCGCUGGCCGAAGCGUACACGGACGCCGGCGAGGGGACCGUAAUGGCCGGCGCAAUGGUGUCAGUGACAGUAAUGGUGAUGGUCUUGCUCGCGCUAUUGCCGCUUUUGUCAGUGGCCGUGCAGGUGGCUACGGUGGUGCCGACGGGGUAGACGCCAGAGGUGGAGGGGGCCGCGGGGGAGUAGGUGGUGACAACGUUGAGGUUCGUGUCCACGUUGUCAGUGGCGGUGCAUGUGAAGGAGAUGCCGUCGGCGCCGCCAAGCGUGUUGCCCUCCUUGGUGAUGGCGUUGGUGCUGGUG
This 1041-nucleotide long non-coding RNA is filed under the name Chlamydomonas reinhardtii. RNAcentral's name for it is "long non-coding RNA (CREI_LNC000386)". Lineage: Eukaryota; Viridiplantae; Chlorophyta; Chlorophyceae; Chlamydomonadales; Chlamydomonadaceae. The record is from RNAcentral.